GAUGAACGCUGGCGGCGUGCCUAAUACAUGCAAGUCGAGCGAACGGACGAGAAGCUUGCUUCUCUGAUGUUAGCGGCGGACGGGUGAGUAACACGUGGAUAACCUACCUAUAAGACUGGGAUAACUUCGGGAAACCGGAGCUAAUACCGGAUAAUAUUUUGAACCGCAUGGUUCAAAAGUGAAAGACGGUCUUACUGUCACUUAUAGAUGGAUCCGCGCUGCAUUAGCUAGUUGGUAAGGUAACGGCUUACCAAGGCAACGAUACAUAGCCGACCUGAGAGGGUGAUCGGCCACACUGGAACUGAGACACGGUCCAGACUCCUACGGGAGGCAGCAGUAGGGAAUCUUCCGCAAUGGGCGAAAGCCUGACGGAGCAACGCCGCGUGAGUGAUGAAGGUCUUCGGAUCGUAAAACUCUGUUAUUAGGGAAGAACAUAUGUGUAAGUAACUGUGCACAUCUUGACGGUACCUAAUCAGAAAGCCACGGCUAACUACGUGCCAGCAGCCGCGGUAAUACGUAGGUGGCAAGCGUUAUCCGGAAUUAUUGGGCGUAAAGCGCGCGUAGGCGGUUUUUUAAGUCUGAUGUGAAAGCCCACGGCUCAACCGUGGAGGGUCAUUGGAAACUGGAAAACUUGAGUGCAGAAGAGGAAAGUGGAAUUCCAUGUGUAGCGGUGAAAUGCGCAGAGAUAUGGAGGAACACCAGUGGCGAAGGCGACUUUCUGGUCUGUAACUGACGCUGAUGUGCGAAAGCGUGGGGAUCAAACAGGAUUAGAUACCCUGGUAGUCCACGCCGUAAACGAUGAGUGCUAAGUGUUAGGGGGUUUCCGCCCCUUAGUGCUGCAGCUAACGCAUUAAGCACUCCGCCUGGGGAGUACGACCGCAAGGUUGAAACUCAAAGGAAUUGACGGGGACCCGCACAAGCGGUGGAGCAUGUGGUUUAAUUCGAAGCAACGCGAAGAACCUUACCAAAUCUUGACAUCCUUUGACAACUCUAGAGAUAGAGCUUUCCCCUUCGGGGGACAAAGUGACAGGUGGUGCAUGGUUGUCGUCAGCUCGUGUCGUGAGAUGUUGGGUUAAGUCCCGCAACGAGCGCAACCCUUAAGCUUAGUUGCCAUCAUUAAGUUGGGCACUCUAAGUUGACUGCCGGUGACAAACCGGAGGAAGGUGGGGAUGACGUCAAAUCAUCAUGCCCCUUAUGAUUUGGGCUACACACGUGCUACAAUGGACAAUACAAAGGGCAGCGAAACCGCGAGGUCAAGCAAAUCCCAUAAAGUUGUUCUCAGUUCGGAUUGUAGUCUGCAACUCGACUACAUGAAGCUGGAAUCGCUAGUAAUCGUAGAUCAGCAUGCUACGGUGAAUAAGUUCCCGGGUCU
Molecule: ribosomal RNA, 1372 nt
Filed under: uncultured bacterium
Lineage: Bacteria
Description: bacterial SSU rRNA
Rfam family: Bacterial small subunit ribosomal RNA
Source: RNAcentral